CCUACGGGAGGCAGCGGUGGGGAAUAUUGGGCAAUGGGCGAAAGCCUGACCCAGCGACGCCGCGUGAGGGAAGAAGGUCUUCGGAUUGUAAACCUUAGUUGGCAGGGAAGAAGAAAGUGACGGUACCUGCAGAGAAAGCCACGGCUAACUACGUGCCAGCAGCCGCGGUAAU
This 172-nucleotide ribosomal RNA is filed under the name uncultured bacterium. Its description in RNAcentral is "partial 16S ribosomal RNA". It matches the Rfam family "Bacterial small subunit ribosomal RNA", at positions 338 to 524 of the family's 1533-position model. The record is from RNAcentral.